This 253-nucleotide ribosomal RNA is filed under the name uncultured bacterium. Its description in RNAcentral is "partial 16S ribosomal RNA". It matches the Rfam family "Bacterial small subunit ribosomal RNA", at positions 524 to 776 of the family's 1533-position model. The record is from RNAcentral.
UCCGAAGGGGGCUAUCGUUGUUCGGAAUUACUGGGCGUAAAGCGCGUGUAGGCGGGCCGUUAAGUCGGGGGUGAAAGCCCAGAGCUCAACUCUGGAAUUGCCUUCGAUACUGGCGGCCUGGAGAAUGAUAGAGGUGAGUGGAAUUGCGAGUGUAGAGGUGAAAUUCGUAGAUAUUCGGAGGAACACCAGUGGCGAAGGCGACUCGCUGGAUCAUUGCUGACGCUGAGACGCGAAAGCGUGGGGAGCAAACAGG